This 45-nucleotide non-coding RNA is filed under the name Schistosoma mattheei. Lineage: Eukaryota; Metazoa; Platyhelminthes; Trematoda; Strigeidida; Schistosomatidae. The record is from RNAcentral.
AUCCAACUGACGAGUUCAAAAUAGUGCGGAACCCUCGUCCUGGAU